RNAcentral lists this long non-coding RNA (3876 nucleotides) under Equus caballus (horse). Its description in RNAcentral is "lncRNA (ENSECAG00000049627.1)". The record is from RNAcentral. Lineage: Eukaryota; Metazoa; Chordata; Mammalia; Perissodactyla; Equidae.
UUCCACUCAUAGACACCUUUCUCAGCCCCCUUGUCAGGAGGAGCACUCACCUGGGAAAGGCUGAGAUGCUAUUUGGAAGCACCUGUGCUCCAUCAAAUGAGAUCCUUCUGAGACACAAAAGGGAGGGUGUCCCCCUGAGUAAGACCGUAGCAAGAUCCUUUUAGCUGCCAAUUGUUUAGCAGAAACUGGUGUAGUCAGGAGCUUUACACUUGUUUGGAGAAUUUAGGGAAGGAGCUCCUUCCUGUCCAAGCACUUGGCAAGUGUUUGAAGAGACAUAACACCCUUGAGGUCCUGUUUAAUCUUCAAAGAGAAACAGGAAACUCUUUGAGUUAAAAGAUGGAACAAAUAAGUUUUCUGAAUUUUAAAGAAAAUAAAGACCAAGAUUUCCACAUCUAGCAUUCUGCAAGACACACAGGGGACAAAGAAAAGAAGCCAUUCUUUGGUGCCCACAGGCCACCUUCCUUAUCAAACGCACUGGGCACUUGGCAGAAGGAAAAACAACAAAAAGACCAUCUCUCCUGUGGCUCCGUAGUGCUGCUUUCCACCCGAACGUGACCUGCCAGCAAGCACUGCUGCGAGGCGCAGCCUUGCGAUUUUGGAAGUAUGGACUCAAUGACAGUCUUCCCAGCCGAUUGGAUUCUGGUGGCUCCAAACUCACCUUCAAAUCGCACCUGCCCCUGUACAGGUGGGCAUUCUGGACAGGAGGUCAUGACUAAAGCCAAGGAACCAAAUGCUCCAGGGAAAUCCGGGCAGUAGCAGGAACAGCUAAAUGGGCAUUCAUUGACCAACGGAGGAAGCCCACACAGCACAAUAGGAUGCCUGAGAGAUGCACGCAGCUAUACCUCUGAGGAUGGAUGGAUUGGCACCCCCAGGAAGUGGCGGAGAUAGACAUUGGCCCGUGCACUUCUGUUUUAAGCAAAAGUAAGAUUUAUUGGAAAGAUGCUGGAGUUGAUCAUGGAAUCGCAGAGGACUGAGAGAUCAAUCCUCGGACAGUGCAGUAGCAGCAGCUGUUCUCUCAUAGACUCUUUUUCCUCAUACAGAAAGGCUGGCUGCCAGCAGCUUCCACAACCACACCCUCUAGCUCAGUUCCUAGGAGAGAGCACUCCCCUUCUUGCCAUCUCCAGCCAGGAAAAACUCAUGGAUGGACUCUGCCUGGUUUAGCUUAACUCACAAGUCCAUCUGCAGACCCGUUACCCGGUCUUGAGACAGAGGCACUAUGAUCCCACGUUGUGAAUUGUAAAAUGUAACCAUUAGGAAGUAGACUUCAAAUGCUCGUAUCAUAUUAUAAUACUAUGCAUAUUUGUGUUUAUAGAAGGAAACACAUUUGAAAUAUAGAGAAGCAGAACAGUGUGUUUUCUCAUCAGUUCUUCUUUGGGCAAAAUAAGCAUAAUCUGACUAAAUCUGCAUUUCUAACCUGCGCUGUCACCUUGCUCUUACACCUUAACAAGCAAACUAUAUGAGAAGAAUGAUCAGCAAUAGAAGCAAGAUGAUUUUCUUUUGGUCCAAAACUUUGUACCUGGUGAUAUUCUAUGCCAUGAAAAGAAUCAUGCUUAAUAAUUCAUUUGUCAGCUGUGUUAGGCACUGUGGAAGAUUCCAAACAGCAUGAAAUCUAACCUCUGCCUUCAGAGAGCUUAACAGUUUUCUGUGGCAGGGAAAUUAGAGUACAUCUGUGAAAACAUAUUAGUAUAGGACAGAACAGAAAAUUUCUUAGACUCUAACAAAUGUUUUAAUUCCAGGUGUACUCAGGAAGAUAGUAGCAUUUUUGGAUGUCUACUAUGAAGAGAAAAGUAUGUACUGAGAUGGGUUUUAUAGGCAGUAAACAUUACAGUCCUUGUCUUCAAGACAUUUGAAACAUACAACAUGCUCACAUUAGCUAAAUAUGCUUACUUCAAAUGCCUAUACUUAUGUCACAUGACUGUGAAGUUAUCAACCUGGUUUCAAAAGCCAUACACAAAAAUCAAAUCAGGUAAUGUGUGUAAAAGUUCAUUGUUAACUGUAGUACCAUACAAACUGAGGUGAUAUUACCGUGAUCAUAUCUUCCAUUUUAUUGUUCAUGAUGGAAGCUGGCCUACUUGUGGAGAAGAAUGGGCCCAUUAUUCCUGUUUGGGAAAAUAAAUGGAAUAAUAAAGAAGACUCAAAACCAAAUGAAAUGCCAUUCCAUACACAUUUUGAAAAAGUUUAUAGAGUAAUUUAAGCAUGAAGAGCUAUUCUAAGCAUAAUAAUAAACUGUAAAGAAUAUUGUUUCCUUUCCAAGAUUCACUUUUCCAAGAUGGCUCAAAUGUGAAAGUCUCUUUUGGAGUUUAUGUAUAGUUCUUUAAAUUGGCACAUUUGGCCUAAAGCAAGAGGAAAAACUGAGUACAAUGUACCAUUUUGUCAAGCAGGGCAGAGCCUUGAAUGGAGGAUUAAGUGGGUAGGGCUCCAUGGAAGAAAUAGGACAUAUUCUUUGCUAUUCAGAGAUAUCCUAUGGGUUGAUGAAAUUAUAUUUACUUUAACAAGCCUUGCUUAAUACUGCACGUUCACAAUUACCUUCCACUUGUACAGCAUGUUGCUCAGGAAGAAAUCUAUUCCUAUCCUUAAUGUUCCAGUCUCUCUUUCCUUGUUUUAACUAUAUUCUAAAUAAUUUAUAAAUAUUUUGUUGCUGGUGAAUUGUUUUCUUUUUCGGCCCUUCAGUAUAGGCAUAGCUUAAUACUGGCUAUAUUUCCAUUUGCCUUUUUUCUUUGUUUCUCAUUGGUCCAUAUCAGACCUAAGCUUCAAUUUUCUUUUCCUUCAGCCACAGAUAUCCUAGUGUAUAAUAUUUCCUUCUGGAUUCUAUCAAAUGUAACCCUACUUAAUCACACCUUCAUCUUGGUCAUUACCCCAGGCCACCAUACUCUAUAUCAGUUUUAUGAGUAUUUUCUGGUCUGAAGGGCAUUUGUUUUACUCAGGCACAGGAGAUUCUGUCUUCUAUGAAUGUUAUGAGUUUUAACAUGAUGUAGAAACCGUGAUGCUAACUGACAUUACACAGAACUUUACAGGUUACUCAGCCUCUCACAGACAGGCGUUUAUUUGGUCCUUUCAAACUCUUGGGGUGGGAUUUAUCAUCUCCAAUUUCCUCAUGAGGAAAUGGAAGUUCAGUGAGAGAUUGUGCACAGGCCUAUGGUAGCUGGUAAACGGUAGAAUUGGGGCUGAGAUUGGGUUUCCUCACUCCAUGCCCAUUGCGCUUUCCAUCGUAUUACAAGCCAUUCUGCUUAGGAGGGAUUUAGGGCUUAUAUAGCAAAUAAUAUUUUUCAGGGAAUCUGUUUACAACAACAAAAAAUUUUUCUCUCCAAAAUGUUCAUGCCUGGCCUGGAUAAACAUGAGCUCCCACUGCCCACCAUUGCCUCUAGGAUUUACUUUAUAGCUUUGUUUCAAAUACAAACUGAGUUUUCAUUAUUCUUCCUUACAGUUAAUCUCUUUACACACUGCCCUAGGAAUCACUUUUAAAAUUGACAGGAGUUUAGCUGGAGUCUCUCUUCUGUGAUGGGAAUUCCAUUCCCAAAGAACUAGAGCAAUAUUUCUUAAUUGAAUAUUUACUGUAAUGAUCAAGAAGGAGUCAGUUGGUCCUGUUUGCUUUAUUUUCAUUGUAAGCUAAAGAUUUGGAUGGUAUUUCCAUGAUUUAUUGAGAACUGCACCAAGAUUCUCAGUAUUCAAUAAACAUAGUUAAGAAGUAGAGGAAAGACAUAUAUUUUUCAUCAUACACACAACUCUAAAUGUUUAGGCCAAAGGCACAUAUUUUUAGGACCUUACAAAAGUAGAUACAUUUUUAAUGGGUUCAAGUAACAAAUAUAAAUUCUAUCUCUCUAUUACCUGAAUAUCUUAACUGUUUGGAGGUUUUAUUAUCGGAAACUGCCAAAUAAC